UGCCAGCCGCCGCGGUAAUACGAGGGGUCCAAGCGUUAAUCGGAAUCACUGGGCUUAAAGGGUACGUAGGCGGCCUUGUAAGCAUCUCGUGAAAUCCCACGGCUCAACUGUGGAAUUGCGGGGUAAACUGCAAGACUUGAAUACGGUAGAGGAGAGAGGAAUUCCUGGUGUAGAGGUGAAAUUCGUAGAUAUCAGGAGGAACACCGAUGGCGAAGGCAUCUCACUGGUCCGAUACUGACGCUGGGGUGCCAAAGCGUGGAGAGCAAACAGGAUUAGAUA
Molecule: ribosomal RNA, 279 nt
Filed under: uncultured bacterium
Lineage: Bacteria
Description: partial 16S ribosomal RNA
Rfam family: Bacterial small subunit ribosomal RNA
Source: RNAcentral